GAUGAACGCUAGCGGCAGGCUUAAUACAUGCAAGUCGAGGGGUAACAGGGAAGCUUGCUUCCGCUGACGACCGGCGAACGGGUGAGUAACACGUACGUAACCUACCUUCUACAGGAGAAUAGCCCCGGGAAACUGGGAUUAAUACUCCAUAUGAUGAUAGCAUCGCAUGAUGCAGUCAUGAAAACUCCGGUGGUAGAAGAUGGACGUGCGGCCCAUUAGAUAGUUGGUGAGGUAACGGCUCACCAAGUCAACGAUGGGUAGCGGGCGUGAGAGCGCGAUCCGCCACACGGGCACUGAGACACGGGCCCGACUCCUACGGGAGGCAGCAGUAGGGAAUAUUGGACAAUGGAGGAAACUCUGAUCCAGCCAUGCCGCGUGAAGGAUGACUGCCCUACGGGUUGUAAACUUCUUUUAUCAGGGAAGAAACCUGGAGAUUCAUCUCCAGCUGACGGUACCUGAUGAAUAAGCACCGGCUAACUCCG
Molecule: ribosomal RNA, 482 nt
Filed under: uncultured Bacteroidota bacterium
Lineage: Bacteria; Pseudomonadati; Bacteroidota
Description: bacterial SSU rRNA
Rfam family: Bacterial small subunit ribosomal RNA
Source: RNAcentral